Molecule: ribosomal RNA, 677 nt
Filed under: uncultured archaeon
Lineage: Archaea
Description: bacterial SSU rRNA
Rfam family: Archaeal small subunit ribosomal RNA
Source: RNAcentral
CCCUAUGGGGUGCACCAGGCGAGAAAACUUUGCAAUGUGCGAAAGCACGACAAGGUUAAUCCGAGUGGUUUCUGCUAAAGGAACCUUUUGUCAGUCCUAGAAACACUGAUGAAUAAGGGGUGGGCAAGUUCUGGUGUCAGCCGCCGCGGUAAAACCAGCACCUCAAGUGGUCAGGAUGAUUAUUGGGCCUAAAGCAUCCGUAGCCGGCUUUGUAAGUUUUCGGUUAAAUCCAUGCGCUCAACGUAUGGGCUGCCGGGAAUACUGCAAAGCUAGGGAGUGGGAGAGGUAGACGGUACUCGGUAGGAAGGGGUAAAAUCCUUUGAUCUAUUGAUGACCACCUGUGGCGAAGGCGGUCUACCAGAACACGUCCGACGGUGAGGGAUGAAAGCUGGGGGAGCAAACCGGAUUAGAUACCCGGGUAGUCCCAGCUGUAAACUAUGCAAACUCAGUGAUGCAUUGGCUUGAUGCCAAUGCAGUGCUGCAGGGAAGCCGUUAAGUUUGCCGCCUGGGAAGUACGUACGCAAGUAUGAAACUUAAAGGAAUUGGCGGGGGAGCACCACAAGGGGUGAAGCCUGCGGUUCAAUUGGAGUCAACGCCAGAAAUCUUACCCGGAGAGACAGCAGAAUGAAGGUCAAGCUGAAGACUUUACCAGACAAGCUGAGAAGAAGUGCAUGGCC